Cyanistes caeruleus (blue tit) is the source of this 3771-nucleotide non-coding RNA. The record is from RefSeq and is a predicted model, not a curated record. Lineage: Eukaryota; Metazoa; Chordata; Aves; Passeriformes; Paridae.
GCAAGCAAGCCGUUAAAGGGAAAUCGCCAUAGCGAUAAACGACGGAUGGCGGCCAAACCACCGGCCGCAAAGCGCCUGAGGAGCGGCGCUGCCUCCGCUUCCAGGGACAUUUCAAGCAUCGGCGCUCCCACGUGACAGCUCCUAAUAUUUUUUUUAAAUUUUGAUCAGGCUUCUCUGCGGGCUGCCGGGCGCUGAGGCCCGAAGAGGGAACGCCGCACGGGGGCUGCCGGGAGUUGUAGUUCCGGGCCGGACGGGAUCGAAGCGCGCGCCUCCGGCCGCCAUUUUGCGGGCGCCCUGAGGGGUCCGUGAGGGGCAGCGGGGCUCGGCUUCACCCCAUGCUCGUGGGGGCGCCCGAGGUGUGUCAGUGUACAUUUAUUCCCAUCGUAGGAGCAGGGGCCGAGCAGGGAGUGCUCCUGGGAAACGCUCAGGGAAUACAGGCCAGGUAGCAUCUGGAACAGAAGAGAGGAGCCUCCGCUUGCACGGGACCGGGAGAAGAACACCUCAGUUGUAGCAAAAACAUGAGGCGUUUUGUGCAUAACCCGGCCCAAGUCCGCCCAUCUGCAGCUUUGGUCUUCACACUGAGGCAGGAAAACCUUCCUUGCGCCUCACUCCUGCCAAAAACACCCUGAGGAUCGGGGUUCUCCGUGCCGGGGAGCGGGGUGGAGCAGCACGGCCCGGCCCAGGGAGCCCUGCGAGGUGCAGACACAAUUUCCUGUUUAAUUUCCUGACCGUUUCUUACUUGGGAAAGGAAAAGCUGUAAAUUGCAAGAUUGCUUCAGAGACCUUCCUCUGACUUCAGAUGAACUGUUAACCACUUGCAGGAGAGAAUCCAGCAAACCAGCACAAAACUUGUAAAAAACCCCUCAUUUUCUUUUAUAUCUUCUGCGAUUCGCGCCGAGAGGAAAGCUGCGCAAAAAAUAAAGGUUGGAAACAUUUUCCUUGGAAAAUCAAACGGGAGCAACUCCACCUCCAGCUGAGCAGGUAAUUGCACUUUCAUCACUCAGCAAACCGCCUGUGACACACAGACUGUGCUUCUGUGGUCCCAAAUGUGGACAUCCCCCCGCACGGGCUCUGAUUCCCACUCCCACACUCCUUCAAAUCCCGGGAGAUGCCGAGAGAUUCCCACGGUCACAGUGACCGGCUGAUCCAACGGGACAUUCCCGCGGGCGGGGUCACCGGGAAUGCUGCGGGGUAAUGAACGCCCUUAGGGUUAAUGAAGGUGGGCUGGCGCCGGGCAGCUCUUGGCACGCAGGGACACGGUGACACCCGGCUGGGGCUGCGUGACCUGCAGCAGGAGAGCUCAGAUCUCCAGCCAGCCCUGCCCCAAAGAGCCCUGAAUCCCGGCACGGGUGGCACAGUGCCACGGCUCCCAAAAGCAGGAUGGAGCUAGCAGCACCUGGGACAGCCCCUGCAGGACACAGGUCUCCACCUGGCUCUGAGCCCCCUCUUUAGAGGUUCAAAACCUGCAGUGUAAGAUGAAGAAAAUGGAUUAAGGUGGGAAUGUCACUUUUGAGAGCAUUUGUAUUUCGGUUUCUCAUUUCACGUGGCUAAAUUUUAACUUUGCCUAGAAAUGGGAGAUAAAACGAUUGCUCCAGCAGGGGUGCCCAGGCAGGUACAGCAGGAAGCUGCAGCAUCUCCUGGCGCUGCUGCAGAACCACAGAGCCUCUGCAGGACAGCAAACACUCUUUCCUACGCCAGUGCUUGGGAGCAGAUGCAAAAAUGGCUUCCUGGGGAAGGGAUCCACCUUACCCUAGCCUGGCUGGCAAGUGUUCCAGGCACAACUUCAGCAGCACCUUGGCAAUGCUGUGACAGCCAUGCAGAGCCACUGGGGAGCUUCUCUUGCCAUCUGAUGGGGCUGAUGGAAUGGGGAGAGUCCAAAGGCUGCUGACAGCUGAGACUGUCAAUCCAAAUUAACUCUUGCUCUCGUGAUGGAAAUGUGGGACCACAUGGGGUGAACCAUGGUGGGUGCCUUGGUGCCCUUGGUGCUUCCCAGCAGCUGCUGUUUGAGCCCCCCUGGGAAAAGAAAAAUCAAAUUUCACUGCAGAAACUGAGAAACGGCAAAACUUUGCAAUGCAAGCAUAAAGGUUUUUUUAGCCUUUAUUUCUGGGAAGACAGCGUGGGCUGAAGCUUCCCCUUCCUUCUUCACCCUCUCCCCCUGGGGUGAGGGGAAGGGCUGAGGGGAAGGGCUGGGAAAGCACCUGGUGCAGGCCAGGGCUGGUUUCCUCUAUGGCCCUGUGCAAAUCAAGGCCACAGUGGGGGAUGCCACAGGCACCUGGUCCAGCAGGCCAGAGCAUCCAUGGCUUCCUCAGCACAAACCCAAACCUGAGACCCACCCCCACACAUCCCUGGGGCUGCAGGGUGGUCAGAGCCCUGGGCAGCGUUGCCAGGAGCAUGGGAGGGUGGCACAGCCCACACAGGAGCAUCAGCACCUCUCCCAGAUCCCAGAGGUGGGGAUGAGGGACCCACAGGGCUGGCCAGGCACACACAGGGAACGCCACAGGCUCAGCAGCUUCCCUUCCUCUUUCUGCCAACCACUAAAAUAGUCCCACCUGGCUCCAUCCCCUCCCUGGCAGGGAGAGGUUAAAAACAGGGAGAGGGGCCAGGGGGUGGCUGGCAGCAGGAGUGUCACUCCUCAGGGACUCACAUGCUCCAGGAACAGGCACCCGCUCCCAGGACGAGCUGGUGUUGCAGGGAGAGGCACUGCAUGUGUGAAAAACACCACUCAGCCCCAACAUUGCUGCUCUCAUGUGGGCUCCUGCUUGGAGCUCCAGGGAGAUGCUCAAGGGAAGAGGGCAGGGGGGGCUCCUGCUGUGAAUAUCUCCUGGGAAAUUGCUGUUUCCAGACUCAGGCCAUGCUGGGUUUGAACAAAGGCUUCUUUACUUUACUAGGCAAAUGGGAAGGUGAGCACAGAGGAUCCUCUCGCAGCACACCAGGCCAAGACAGGGAGUUGCAAACUCUUUUUGACCUGUGCACACCAACUUUUUCCCCAGCUACACUACCUAGAAAAACCAACAGCAUUUGCAUACACGGUUUCAUCCAGUAUCCCCCUCCCCAUUUAGAGAACAAAAAUAUCUCUAUGGCAGAAACUAAAAACUUUGUUAGAAGCUCUGGGUCCCCUCACACUCUGUGUCCCAGAGCUGCAAGGGGAGGGAAGUGGCUGCUGUAGGGGGCUCAGGGUGGGGCAGGUUGGUGCUGGGUGCUGCCCUGUGGCUCCAGCCACCACCCCCUUGAGGGGACAUUGCUUUCACCCUCUGGGGUAAAAGUUGGGUUUUUCAGUGUUUUGCCACCUGCAGCUCUUGAUGCCUUUCCACCAGCUGUGGAAGAGCUGGGUCAGCAGUUCACAUCCCAUCCCUACUGCACACAUUUAGGGCUAAAUAAGGGGGAACAGUGAGAAACCACUUGGCAAAGCUUUGUUUUGGAGCCCCAGCCCUGCUCUGCCAGGAGACAGACACCUGUGUGGACCCUAAGACCCUCCUUGUUCCCAAACCUCAGUCUUCACCUUCCAGCUUCUGUGACAACCCGUGCUCAGGUCCCACAGGCAGGUUUUAUUAUUUUAUCCCCCAGGUCUGGUUUCCUCCCUGCAUCUCUGGGUUAGAGACGUGCCACGUGCAGCUGAAGGUUGAGCUGAGCUUACCUGAGCAGCUGAAGUUCAGACUCAUCCCACCCUGGAGCACCCUGAAACUGGCAGAGCACAUUGCUGAUGUCAUUUUUGGCUGUAGUUUCCUCGGGGUUUUCUUUUUUUAAAGCAGAUUUAAAAAAUCCAUCUCUUUAC